GAUGAACGCUGGCGGCGUGCUUAACACAUGCAAGUCGAACGGGAUCCAGGCAGCUUGCUGCCUGGUGAGAGUGGCGAACGGGUGAGUAAUGCGUGACCGACCUGCCCCAUACACCGGAAUAGCUCCUGGAAACGGGUGGUAAUGCCGGAUGCUCCGACUCCUCGCAUGGGGUGUCGGGAAAGAUUAUAUCGGUAUGGGAUGGGGUCGCGUCCUAUCAGGUAGUCGGCGGGGUAACGGCCCACCGAGCCUACGACGGGUAGCCGGCCUGAGAGGGCGACCGGCCACAUUGGGACUGAGAUACGGCCCAGACUCCUACGGGAGGCAGCAGUGGGGAAUAUUGCACAAUGGGCGCAAGCCUGAUGCAGCGACGCCGCGUGCGGGAUGACGGCCUUCGGGUUGUAAACCGCUUUUGAUCGGGAGCAAGCCUUCGGGUGAGUGUACCUUUCGAAUAAGCACCGGCUA
Molecule: ribosomal RNA, 462 nt
Filed under: uncultured bacterium
Lineage: Bacteria
Description: bacterial SSU rRNA
Rfam family: Bacterial small subunit ribosomal RNA
Source: RNAcentral